Molecule: unclassified non-coding RNA, 253 nt
Filed under: uncultured Caryophanales bacterium
Lineage: Bacteria; Bacillati; Bacillota; Bacilli; Caryophanales
Description: uncultured Bacillales bacterium contains 16S-23S intergenic spacer region
Rfam family: Bacterial small subunit ribosomal RNA
Source: RNAcentral
UACGUAGGUGGCAAGCGUUGUCCGGAAUUAUUGGGCGUAAAGCGCGCGCAGGCGGCCUCUUAAGUCUGAUGUGAAAGCCCCCGGCUCAACCGGGGAGGGCCAUUGGAAACUGGGAGGCUUGAGUAUAGGAGAGAAGAGUGGAACUCCACGUGUAGCGGUGAAAUGCGUAGAGAUGUGGAGGAACACCAGUGGCGAAGGCGACUCUUUGGCCUAUAACUGACGCUGAGGAACGAAAGCCAGGGUAGUAAAAGGG